RNAcentral lists this non-coding RNA (45 nucleotides) under Trichobilharzia regenti. Lineage: Eukaryota; Metazoa; Platyhelminthes; Trematoda; Strigeidida; Schistosomatidae. The record is from RNAcentral.
AUCCAGAUGACGAGUGCGAAAUAGGACGAAAUGCGCAUCCUGGAU